Molecule: ribosomal RNA, 342 nt
Filed under: Triticum aestivum (bread wheat)
Lineage: Eukaryota; Viridiplantae; Streptophyta; Magnoliopsida; Poales; Poaceae
Description: partial small subunit ribosomal RNA
Source: RNAcentral
AUGGAGAUUCUAGCAACAAGAGAGAGGGGAGUGUAUCUUCAUACCCUUGAAGAUCGCGAUGCGGAAGCGUUACAAGAACGCGGUUGGAGGAGUCGUACAUGCAACGAUUCAGAUCGCGGUCGAUUCCGAUCUAAGCGCCGAACAACGGCGCCUCCGCGUUCAACACACGUGCAGCCUAGUGACGUCUCCCGCGCCUUGAUCCAGCAAGGAGGAGGGAGAGGUUGGGGAAGACAACUCCAGCAGCAGCACGGCGGCGUGGUGGUGGUGGAGCAUCGUGGUUUCCAGCAGGGCUUCGCCAAGCACUACGAAGGACGAGGAUGUGGAGAGGUAGGGCUGUGCUGA